Molecule: ribosomal RNA, 440 nt
Filed under: Exiguobacterium mexicanum
Lineage: Bacteria; Bacillati; Bacillota; Bacilli; Caryophanales
Description: bacterial SSU rRNA
Rfam family: Bacterial small subunit ribosomal RNA
Source: RNAcentral
GGAAAUCGACGGAACCCUUCGGGGGGAAGUCGACGGAAUGAGCGGCGGACGGGUGAGUAACACGUAAAGAACCUGCCCUCAGGUCUGGGAUAACCACGAGAAAUCGGGGCUAAUACCGGAUGGGUCAUCGGACCGCAUGGUCCGAGGAUGAAAGGCGCUCCGGCGUCGCCUGGGGAUGGCUUUGCGGUGCAUUAGCUAGUUGGUGGGGUAAUGGCCCACCAAGGCGACGAUGCAUAGCCGACCUGAGAGGGUGAUCGGCCACACUGGGACUGAGACACGGCCCAGACUCCUACGGGAGGCAGCAGUAGGGAAUCUUCCACAAUGGACGAAAGUCUGAUGGAGCAACGCCGCGUGAACGAUGAAGGCCUUCGGGUCGUAAAGUUCUGUUGUAAGGGAAGAACAAGUGCCGCAGGCAAUGGCGGCACCUUGACGGUACCUUG